This 403-nucleotide ribosomal RNA is filed under the name uncultured bacterium. RNAcentral's name for it is "bacterial SSU rRNA". It matches the Rfam family "Bacterial small subunit ribosomal RNA", at positions 32 to 415 of the family's 1533-position model. The record is from RNAcentral.
AAUCAACGCUGGCGGCGUGCCUAACACAUGCAAGUCGAACGCGAAAGGGGGCUUCGGCUCCUGAGUAGAGUGGCGUCCGGGUGAGUAACACGUAGGUAAUCUGCCUUCGGGUGGGGAAUAACCAGUCGAAAGAUUGGCUAAUACCGCAUAAUGCAGCGGCACCUAAUGGUGAUUAGUUGUUAAAGCGGGGGAUCGCAAGACCUCGCGCCUGAAGAGGAGCCUGCGGCAGAUUAGCUAGUUGGUGAGGUAAUGGCUCACCAAGGCUUCGAUCUGUAGCUGGUCUGAGAGGACGGCCAGCCACACUGGCACUGACACACGGGCCUAGACUCCUACGGGAGGCAGCAGUGGGAACUUUGGGCAAUGGCGAAGCCUGACCCAGCAACGCCGCGUGAGGGAGGAAUCC